RNAcentral lists this ribosomal RNA (497 nucleotides) under uncultured bacterium. Its description in RNAcentral is "partial 16S ribosomal RNA". It matches the Rfam family "Bacterial small subunit ribosomal RNA", at positions 28 to 507 of the family's 1533-position model. The record is from RNAcentral.
GAUGAACGCUGGCGGCGUGCCUAAUACAUGCCAGUCGAGCGAACAGACGAGGAGCUUGCUCCUCUGACGUUAGCGGCGGACGGGUGAGUAACACGUGGAUAACCUACCUAUAAGACUGGGAUAACUUCGGGAAACCGGAGCUAAUACCGGAUAAUAUAUUGAACCGCAUGGUUCAAUAGUGAAAGACGGUUUUGCUGUCACUUAUAGAUGGAUCCGCGCCGCAUUAGCUAGUUGGUAAGGUAACGGCUUACCAAGGCAACGAUGCGUAGCCGACCUGAGAGGGUGAUCGGCCACACUGGAACUGAGACACGGUCCAGACUCCUACGGGAGGCAGCAGUAGGGAAUCUUCCGCAAUGGGCGAAAGCUUGACGGAGCAACGCCGCGUGAGUGAUGAAGGUCUUCGAAUCGUAAAACUCUGUUAUUAGGGAAGAACAAAUGUGUAAGUAACUAUGCACGUCUUGACGGUACCUAAUCAGAAAGCCACGGCUAACUACGUG